RNAcentral lists this ribosomal RNA (465 nucleotides) under uncultured bacterium. Its description in RNAcentral is "partial 16S ribosomal RNA". It matches the Rfam family "Bacterial small subunit ribosomal RNA", at positions 28 to 507 of the family's 1533-position model. The record is from RNAcentral.
GACGAACGCUGGCGGCGUGCUUAACACAUGCAAGUCGAACGGAAAGGCCCCUUUGGGGGUCCUCGAGUGGCGAACGGGUGAGUAACACGUGAGUAACCUUCCCUUGACUUCGGGAUAACUUCAGGAAACUGGGGCUAAUACCGGAUAGGAAUCCUUGCUGCAUGGUGGGGGUUGGAAAGCUUCGGCGGUUUUGGAUGGACUCGCGGCUUAUCAGCUUGUUGGUGGGGUAGUGGCUUACCAAGGCUUUGACGGGUAGCCGGCCUGAGAGGGCGACCGGCCACAUUGGGACUGAGAUACGGCCCAGACUCCUACGGGAGGCAGCAGUGGGGAAUAUUGCACAAUGGGCGGAAGCCUGAUGAAGCAACGCCGCGUGCGGGAUGACGGCCUUCGGGUUGUAAACCGCUUUCAGCAGGGGCGAAGCUUGUGGUGACGGUACCUGCAGAAGAAGCACCGGCUAACUACGUG